RNAcentral lists this ribosomal RNA (2176 nucleotides) under Bacillus wiedmannii. Its description in RNAcentral is "partial 23S ribosomal RNA". It matches the Rfam family "Bacterial large subunit ribosomal RNA", at positions 1 to 2176 of the family's 2925-position model. Lineage: Bacteria; Bacillati; Bacillota; Bacilli; Caryophanales; Bacillaceae. The record is from RNAcentral.
UUUGGUUAAGUUAGAAAGGGCGCACGGUGGAUGCCUUGACACUAGGAGUCGAUGAAGGACGGGACUAACGCCGAUAUGCUUCGGGGAGCUGUAAGUAAGCUUUGAUCCGAAGAUUUCCGAAUGGGGAAACCCACCAUACGUAAUGGUAUGGUAUCCUUGCCUGAAUACAUAGGGUAAGGAAGACAGACCCAGGGAACUGAAACAUCUAAGUACCUGGAGGAAGAGAAAGCAAAUGCGAUUUCCUGAGUAGCGGCGAGCGAAACGGAACAUAGCCCAAACCAAGAGGCUUGCCUCUUGGGGUUGUAGGACAUUCUAUACGGAGUUACAAAGGAACGAGGUAGACGAAGCGACCUGGAAAGGUCCGUCGUAGAGGGUAACAACCCCGUAGUCGAAACUUCGUUCUCUCUUGAAUGUAUCCUGAGUACGGCGGAACACGUGAAAUUCCGUCGGAAUCUGGGAGGACCAUCUCCCAAGGCUAAAUACUCCCUAGUGAUCGAUAGUGAACCAGUACCGUGAGGGAAAGGUGAAAAGCACCCCGGAAGGGGAGUGAAAGAGAUCCUGAAACCGUGUGCCUACAAAUAGUCAGAGCCCGUUAAUGGGUGAUGGCGUGCCUUUUGUAGAAUGAACCGGCGAGUUACGAUCCCGUGCGAGGUUAAGCUGAAGAGGCGGAGCCGCAGCGAAAGCGAGUCUGAAUAGGGCGUUUAGUACGUGGUCGUAGACCCGAAACCAGGUGAUCUACCCAUGUCCAGGGUGAAGUUCAGGUAACACUGAAUGGAGGCCCGAACCCACGCACGUUGAAAAGUGCGGGGAUGAGGUGUGGGUAGCGGAGAAAUUCCAAUCGAACCUGGAGAUAGCUGGUUCUCCCCGAAAUAGCUUUAGGGCUAGCCUUAAGUGUAAGAGUCUUGGAGGUAGAGCACUGAUUGAACUAGGGGUCCUCAUCGGAUUACCGAAUUCAGUCAAACUCCGAAUGCCAAUGACUUAUCCUUAGGAGUCAGACUGCGAGUGAUAAGAUCCGUAGUCAAGAGGGAAACAGCCCAGAUCGCCAGCUAAGGUCCCAAAGUGUGUAUUAAGUGGAAAAGGAUGUGGAGUUGCUUAGACAACUAGGAUGUUGGCUUAGAAGCAGCCACCAUUUAAAGAGUGCGUAAUAGCUCACUAGUCGAGUGACUCUGCGCCGAAAAUGUACCGGGGCUAAAUACACCACCGAAGCUGCGAAUUGAUACCAAUGGUAUCAGUGGUAGGGGAGCGUUCUAAGUGCAGUGAAGUCAGACCGGAAGGACUGGUGGAGCGCUUAGAAGUGAGAAUGCCGGUAUGAGUAGCGAAAGACGGGUGAGAAUCCCGUCCACCGAAUGCCUAAGGUUUCCUGAGGAAGGCUCGUCCGCUCAGGGUUAGUCAGGACCUAAGCCGAGGCCGACAGGCGUAGGCGAUGGACAACAGGUUGAUAUUCCUGUACCACCUCUUUAUCGUUUGAGCAAUGGAGGGACGCAGAAGGAUAGAAGAAGCGUGCGAUUGGUUGUGCACGUCCAAGCAGUUAGGCUGAUAAGUAGGCAAAUCCGCUUAUCGUGAAGGCUGAGCUGUGAUGGGGAAGCUCCUUAUGGAGCGAAGUCUUUGAUUCCCCGCUGCCAAGAAAAGCUUCUAGCGAGAUAAAAGGUGCCUGUACCGCAAACCGACACAGGUAGGCGAGGAGAGAAUCCUAAGGUGUGCGAGAGAACUCUGGUUAAGGAACUCGGCAAAAUGACCCCGUAACUUCGGGAGAAGGGGUGCUUUCUUAACGGAAAGCCGCAGUGAAUAGGCCCAAGCGACUGUUUAGCAAAAACACAGGUCUCUGCGAAGCCGUAAGGCGAAGUAUAGGGGCUGACACCUGCCCGGUGCUGGAAGGUUAAGGAGAGGGGUUAGCGUAAGCGAAGCUCUGAACUGAAGCCCCAGUAAACGGCGGCCGUAACUAUAACGGUCCUAAGGUAGCGAAAUUCCUUGUCGGGUAAGUUCCGACCCGCACGAAAGGUGUAACGAUUUGGGCACUGUCUCAACCAGAGACUCGGUGAAAUUAUAGUACCUGUGAAGAUGCAGGUUACCCGCGACAGGACGGAAAGACCCCGUGGAGCUUUACUGUAGCCUGAUAUUGAAUUUUGGUACAUUUUGUACAGGAUAGGCGGGAGCCAUUGAAACCGGAGCGCUAGCU